GACGAACGCUGGCGGCGUGCUUAACACAUGCAAGUCGAGCGGUAAGGCCCUUUCGGGGGUACACGAGCGGCGAACGGGUGAGUAACACGUGGGUGACCUGCCCUCAGCUCUGGGAUAAGCCUGGGAAACCGGGUCUAAUACCGGAUAUGACUCCAUGACGCAUGUUGUGGGGUGGAAAGCCUUGUGCGGCUGAGGAUGGGCCCGCGGCCUAUCAGCUUGUUGGUGGGGUGAUGGCCUACCAAGGCGACGACGGGUAGCCGGCCUGAGAGGGCGACCGGCCACACUGGGACUGAGACACGGCCCAGACUCCUACGGGAGGCAGCAGUGGGGAAUCUUGCGCAAUGGGCGAAAGCCUGACGCAGCGACGCCGCGUGAGGGAUGACGGCCUCGGUUGUAA
RNAcentral lists this ribosomal RNA (397 nucleotides) under uncultured bacterium. Its description in RNAcentral is "bacterial SSU rRNA". It matches the Rfam family "Bacterial small subunit ribosomal RNA", at positions 28 to 428 of the family's 1533-position model. The record is from RNAcentral.